GCCGGACCUGACUGCUAUCGGAUUGGUACUAAGCCAUGCGAGUCGUUGUAGCAAUACAAGGCAGACGGCUCAGUAACACGUAGUCAACCUAACCUACGGACGGGGAUAACCUCGGGAAACUGAGAAUAAUACCCGAUAGAUCAUAAUGCCUGGAAUGGUUUAUGGUCAAAACGAUUUAUCGCCAUAGGAUGGGACUGCGGCCUAUCAGCUUGUUGGUGAGGUAAUGGCCCACCAAGGCUAUAACAGGUACGGGCUCUGAGAGGAGAAGCCCGGAGAUGGGUACUGAGACACGGACCCAGGCCCUAUGGGGCGCAGCAGGCGAGAAACCUUAGCAAUGUGCGAAAGCACGACUAGGUUAAUCCGAGUGAUUUCUGCUGAAGAAAUCUUUUGUCAGUUCUAAAACUACCGACGAAUAAGGGGUGGGCAAGUCUGGUGUCAGCCGCCGCGGUAAUACCAGCACCUCGAGUGGUCAGGAGGUUUAUUGGGCCUAAAGCAUCCGUAGCCGGCUAUGCAAGUCUCCGGUUAAAUCCAGUUGCUCAACAAAUGGGCCGCCGGAGAUACUACACAGCUAGGGAGCGGGAGAGGUAGACGGUAUUCGGUGGGUAGGGGUAAAAUCCUCUGAUCCAUUGAGGACCA
RNAcentral lists this ribosomal RNA (636 nucleotides) under uncultured archaeon. RNAcentral's name for it is "bacterial SSU rRNA". It matches the Rfam family "Archaeal small subunit ribosomal RNA", at positions 16 to 659 of the family's 1478-position model. The record is from RNAcentral.